GAUGAGCGCUAGCUACAGGCUUAACACAUGCAAGUCGAGGGGUAACGAGAGGAAAGCUUGCUUUCCUUGUCGACGACCGGCGCACGGGUGAGUAACGCGUAUCCAACCUGCCCCCAACUAGGGAAUAACCUUGCGAAAGUAAGACUAAUACCCUAUAAUUUCCUCAGAUGUCAUCUGACGAGGAAUAAAGAUUUAUCGGUUGUGGAUGAGGAUGCGUCUGAUUAGCUUGUUGGCGGGGUAACGGCCUGCCAAGGCAACGAUCAGUAGGGGUUCUGAGAGGAAGGUCCCCAACAUUGGAACUGAGACACGGUCCAAACUCCUACGGGAGGCAGCAGUGAGGAAUAUUGGUCAAUGGGCGGAAGCCUGAACCAGCCAAGUAGCGUGCAGGAUGACGGCCCUAUGGGUUGUAAACUGCUUUUAUACAGGAAUAAAGUUAGCCACGUGUGGUUAUUUGUAGGUACUGUAUGAAUAAGGACCGGCUAAUUCCGUGCCAGCAGCCGCCGUAA
This 506-nucleotide ribosomal RNA is filed under the name uncultured bacterium. RNAcentral describes it as "partial 16S ribosomal RNA". It matches the Rfam family "Bacterial small subunit ribosomal RNA", at positions 28 to 523 of the family's 1533-position model. The record is from RNAcentral.